Sarcophilus harrisii (Tasmanian devil) is the source of this 2877-nucleotide RNA transcript. It is a transcript of the gene named cactin, spliceosome C complex subunit, with no coding region annotated. NCBI's taxonomy places the organism in Eukaryota, Metazoa, Chordata, Mammalia, Dasyuromorphia, Dasyuridae. The transcript is spliced from 12 exons. The record is from RefSeq and is a predicted model, not a curated record.
GGCUACGGCUUGUAUCCGGGUUAGCUAAUGGGUCGGAACCAGGACUGUCGCUCGCUGUCUCGUUCGUGCUCGCGCUCCCCGGUCCCCAGGAGCCGGAGGCGGCGGCGGAGCCGAAGCGGGAGCCGGGGUCGGAGCCGGAGCCGGAGCCGCGAUGGGCGGCGGCGGCGCGAGAGCAGCGAGGGGCGGAAGAGGCGGCGGCGGCGGCGGAGCCGGGAGCGGAGAGCGGGAUCAGAUUCUGAGGAAGAGCGACAUAGGAGAAAAGCAAAGAAAUAUCAGACCUCUGAAAGGGUUCAUAGAAGUCCAAGAAAGUCACGGCCCCGAUCUCGGGAACCUUCCCAGUCAGAUUCUGGGAGUGAGUCACGGAGGGGUCACAGGAGCAGGCAUAGGAGGAGACAUCGUCAUUCCAGAUCAUCUACCUCUUCAGUCUCUUCAGCAUCACCUUCACCACCCCGCUCUCAGAGCCCACAGGAAGCCCUGGACAAGAAAUUGAGCCUCCAGGAACGGCGGAGGCUAAAGGAAGAGAAAAAGCAGCAAGAAGAGUUGAUGAAGGCCUUUGAAACACCUGAGGAGAAAAGGGCCCGGAGACUGGCCAAGAAAGAGGCCAAAGAACGGAAGAAGAGAGAAAAGAUGGGCUGGGGUGAAGAAUAUAUGGGUUAUACUAAUACCGAUAAUCCCUUUGGAGACAAUAAUCUUCUGGGAACGUUCAUAUGGAACAAGGCACUAGAGAAGAAGGGGAUCAGCCACCUGGAAGAGAAGGAGCUGAAGGAGAGAAACAAGAGAAUCCAGGAAGACAAUCGACUAGAAUUGCAGAAGGUAAAACAGCUGCGAUUGGAGCGAGAGAGGGAGAAAGCCAUGCGGGAACAAGAGCUGGAGAUGCUGCAGAGGGAGAAGGAGGCAGAGCACUUCAAGACCUGGGAGGAGCAGGAAGACAACUUCCACCUUCAACAGGCUAAGCUUCGUUCUAAAAUCCGUAUAAGGGAUGGACGGGCCAAGCCCAUCGACCUCCUGGCCAAGUACAUCAGUGCAGAGGAUGACGACCUGGCUGUGGAGAUGCACGAGCCCUACACCUUCCUCAAUGGUCUCACAGUGUCAGACAUGGAAGACCUUCUGGAGGACAUUCAGGUAUACAUGGAAUUGGAACAGGGCAAGAAUGUAGACUUCUGGAGAGAUAUGACCAUCAUAACAGAGGAUGAGAUUUCCAAACUCCGCAAGCUCGAGGCAUCUGGAAAGGGCCCAGGAGAGCGUCGAGAAGGGGUAAAUGCCUCUGUCAGUUCUGAUGUACAAUCAGUGUUCAAAGGCAAGACCUACAAUCAGCUCCAGGUGAUCUUCCAGGGCAUCGAGGGCAAGAUCCGGGCAGGGGGGCCCAACCUGGACAUUGGCUACUGGGAAAGCCUGCUGCAGCAACUUAAGGCCCACAUGGCCAGAGCCAGGCUCCGUGAGCGCCACCAAGAUGUGCUCCGGCAGAAACUGUACAAGCUGAAGCAGGAGCAGGGCGUCGAGAGCGAGCCCCUAUUCCCUAUCCUCAAGAAAGAGCCAUCAUCUCCCAGUGAGAGGUCAGAGCCCGAAGAAGGAGCUCAGGCCCAGCCGGGGCCUUCCACGUCCAGGGCUUCCGAGGAGCCAGAGGCCGAAGGCGAGGCCCGGGCCGAGGGUGAGGGGGACGGCGAGGGCGAGGGGGAAGCCGUGCUGAUGGAGGAGGACCUGAUCCAGCAGAGCCUUGAGGACUAUGAUGCUGGCAAAUACAGCCCCAGGCUGCUCACCACGCACGAGCUGCCCUUCGACGCGCACGUGGUGGAGGUAGAGGAGGACCUUCAGCGCCUGCUGCUUUCUCGGCAGCAGCUGCAGGUGACAGGAGAUGCCAGUGAGAGCGCCGAAGACAUCUUCUUCCGCCGGGCCAAGGAGGGCAUGGGGGCAGACGAGGCCCAGUUCAGCGUGGAAAUGCCCCUCACCGGCAAGGCCUAUCUGUGGGCCGACAAAUACCGGCCCCGCAAGCCUCGCUUCUUCAACCGGGUCCACACGGGCUUCGAGUGGAACAAGUACAACCAGACCCACUACGACUUUGACAACCCCCCCCCGAAGAUUGUGCAAGGCUACAAGUUCAACAUCUUCUACCCGGACCUGAUCGACAAGCGCUCCACGCCCGAGUACUUCCUGGAGGCCUGCCAGGACAACAAGGACUUCGCCAUCCUGCGCUUCCACGCCGGGCCGCCCUACGAGGACAUCGCCUUCAAGAUUGUCAAUCGGGAGUGGGAGUACUCCCACCGACACGGCUUCCGCUGCCAGUUUGCCAACGGCAUCUUCCAGCUGUGGUUCCACUUCAAGCGCUACCGCUACCGGCGGUAGGGGGGCCUCGGCCCUGGACUGCGGCCCCCGAGAGGCCAGAGAUGGACAGACGGACACGCUCGCGUGCUGGCGGCCUCUGGGUCUCCAGGGCACAGCCACUGAGCACUCUAGGCGAUCAGAAAAAAGGCGAAAGUGAGAAUUGGAGCAGUCAAAGAAGGCUUUGAAUUAGCCUUGAAGGGGCUUUUGCUUUUACCAGUCUGGAUGUCGGCUCCAAGCCUUUAAAGCCAAACUUUGAGCAACGAAUCUCCCCUACACUUAACUGGGCAUAUCUUGUCCAGAGAUUGCAUUCUACUGCUAGUCUUGAACAAUCCGGAGUCAUUUAUGCCACAAGGAAGUGUGGGAAGAGCACUUGCCCAAAAGGAGAACACUUUUCCUACUUGCAUAUUUUUAAGCCCAUUUUUUUCCCUUAUUCUGUUAUCUCUGGCCAGGUCUUAAAGCAGGACUUUUUUUCACUCAUGUCUCCUUUUUGACUAAGAAAUCUCUAUGUGACCUCGGGAGUGUGUGUGUGUAUAUAUAUAUACAUGUAUAUAUAUAAAA